CCUACGGGUGACAGCAGUGAGGAAUAUUGGUCAAUGGACGCAAGUCUGAACCAGCCAUGCCGCGUGCAGGAAGACGGCUCUAUGAGUUGUAAACUGCUUUUGUACGAGGUUAAACGCCGAUACGCGUAUCUUUCUGAAAGUAUCGUACGACUAAGGAUCGGCUAACUCCGUGCCAGCAGCCGCGGUAAUACGGAGGAUUCAAGCGUUCUCCGGAUUUAUUGGGUUUAAAGGGUGCGUAGGCGGUCGGAUAAGUUAGAGGUGAAAUCCCGAGGCUCAACUUCGGAAUUGCCUCUGAUACUGUUCGGCUAGAGAGUAGGUGCGGUAGGCGGAAUGUAUGGUGUAGCGGUGAAAUGAUUAGAGAUCAUACAGAACACCGAUGGCGAAGGCAGCUUACCAAGCUACUUCUGACGUUGAGGCACGAAAGCGUGGGGAGCAAACAGGAUUAGAUACCCGGGUAGUC
Molecule: ribosomal RNA, 460 nt
Filed under: uncultured bacterium
Lineage: Bacteria
Description: partial 16S ribosomal RNA
Rfam family: Bacterial small subunit ribosomal RNA
Source: RNAcentral